GUUGACCUUGAUGAAUGCUGAUGGAGACCAACCAGUGGACGUGAGCACAGUGAGGCUCUGAGUAGUGCUUUUCAGCAGAGGCAACAGUGACAGUGGGUCACCUUCACUGGUGCGGAUUUUCAUGAGCACAGCAUGUAGGCUCUUGUUCAUUGUUGGCAAAAAUGCAUAGAUAAUGGUGGUGAAUGUGUUGAAAAAGAGUAUCUGAGAAUUUGCUCUAUUGAAUAGUGUUACUGUGCUCUUUGUAUCUGCUGUAGUUUCUGUGGAAAUAAAUAGGAGACAUUACUUUUGGAGCAACCUAUCUGUAUGCCUACGGAAGACUUGCAGGCUUUCUUCUGCUAGUGCCAAGUGUCUGGUUUCAGUUCAUUAGCAGUUCCUGGUGCCUUUUUGCUGAUCAGUAAGAAAUUUCACAUUGGCCACUGCCAGAGGGAUGAGGGAGGGAAUGGUGUGCAUUCAUUGUGCAACAGGGUGUGGAGGUGGAGACAGGAUAUGUGGGGUCUUGGCUUUCUGGAGGUGGGAAGGAACAGUGCUUUUUCUACUGUUUGGGCUCUGGGAAUGCAUGCAACCCAAGUUUCUUUCUCAGAAAUUGCCAUUCCGCAGAGCUUUUGGGUAGCAUCCUGAGGGGCUGUGUCAGGGGGAACUUUCUCUUGGUUGGCUUGGGCAGUGCACUGCCUUUUGCAUUCCUGCCUGGUUUCAACACCUGCAUUUCCAAAUGAGACCCAUGCUGCUUCAUGCUCAGUAUUACAUGGACUAGAAGAGCUACCACUUUGGGGUCACAGGCAGGGAGAUGAUUUGGUAGCAUUGCUUGCAUUAUUCAACAGAACCUAGCUGCAUCUUGCAGUAAAGGCAUCCCAUCUUUCUCCCAGCCCUAGCUAUCAAAAUUUCUGCAAAGUGCAUAGGAGAGCUCCACAGAGUCCUCCAAUUGCCCAUAAUGGCCCCACCUGGGCCUCCACCCACAGCAGCCAUUUAGCCCCAGCCCUAGGUGAGGUUUUGUCCUUCGUUGGUGAGUGCUGGGGAGUAGCUUAUGCUGUUAAGAGCCCUAACAGCAAGGGGAUCUAUGGGAUGGUUCUUGUUUCCCCUGAAUAUUAUACAGUUGUACCCGGAGGUAUCCCCUAUCAAGGUCUUGGCAUCAUUGCUCCAGGCAAUUUUCAAAAAGAGAGCGGUUUGUCAAGAAGUCGUUCCUUUCUUCUUCCAGAAAUCUCUUUGAAACUAGUGCAGGCAAUUUCCUGCCUGUGAUGGCAUUCAAGACAUGAGAUACCCUUGUCUUUGACAGCAAAGGACGUUGGUUUCAUUUGAGCUUUUUCCCUUAUCACUGACAACAAUAAAAUUGUCAAGUGUGUGAUUUGAAACA
RNAcentral lists this long non-coding RNA (1348 nucleotides) under Numida meleagris (helmeted guineafowl). Its description in RNAcentral is "lncRNA (ENSNMEG00000018843.1)". Lineage: Eukaryota; Metazoa; Chordata; Aves; Galliformes; Numididae. The record is from RNAcentral.